UACGAAGGGGGCUAGCGUUGUUCGGAUUUACUGGGCGUAAAGCGCACGUAGGCGGAUCGUUAAGUCGGGGGUGAAAUCCUGGAGCUCAACUCCAGAACUGCCUUCGAUACUGGCGAUCUUGAGUCCGGAAGAGGUGAGUGGAACUCCUAGUGUAGAGGUGGAAUUCGUAGAUAUUAGGAAGAACACCAGUGGCGAAGGCGGCUCACUGGUCCGGUACUGACGCUGAGGUGCGAAAGCGUGGGGAGCAACAGGAGUAGAUA
This 260-nucleotide ribosomal RNA is filed under the name uncultured bacterium. RNAcentral's name for it is "partial 16S ribosomal RNA". It matches the Rfam family "Bacterial small subunit ribosomal RNA", at positions 524 to 784 of the family's 1533-position model. The record is from RNAcentral.